AGUUAUGGCAGCUGUGCGUGGGACGCCCUCGGGCGUGCCGGUUUCCUAGUUCCCGGUUUCCAACCUGCGUACAGCUGUCACCCAU
RNAcentral lists this non-coding RNA (85 nucleotides) under Pseudomonas umsongensis. The record is from RNAcentral. RNAcentral also lists the same sequence under 2 other names. Lineage: Bacteria; Pseudomonadati; Pseudomonadota; Gammaproteobacteria; Pseudomonadales; Pseudomonadaceae.